UACGUAGGGUGCAAGCGUUGUCCGGAAUUAUUGGGCGUAAAGAGCUCGUAGGCGGUUUGUUGCGUCGGCUGUGAAAUCCCGAGGCUCAACCUCGGGUCUGCAGUCGAUACGAGCAAACUAGAGUGUUGCAGGGGAGACUGGAAUUCCUGGUGUAGCGGUGAAAUGCGCAGAUAUCAGGAGGAACACCGGUGGCGAAGGCGGGUCUCUGGGCAACAACUGACACUGAUGAACGAAAGCCAGGGGAGCAAACGGG
RNAcentral lists this ribosomal RNA (253 nucleotides) under uncultured bacterium. RNAcentral describes it as "partial 16S ribosomal RNA". It matches the Rfam family "Bacterial small subunit ribosomal RNA", at positions 524 to 776 of the family's 1533-position model. The record is from RNAcentral.